Molecule: transfer RNA, 60 nt
Filed under: Cephalochlamys namaquensis
Lineage: Eukaryota; Metazoa; Platyhelminthes; Cestoda; Pseudophyllidea; Cephalochlamydidae
Description: tRNA-Ser
Source: RNAcentral
GAAGAAAAUUUGUUAAGUUACUGCUAAUAACUUACUGUUAGUUAAGUCUAACUUUCUUCU